ACGCACCUUUCGGGGUGAGUGGCGGACGGGUGAGUAACGCGUGAGAAUCUGCCUUUUGGUCGGGGACAACCACUGGAAACGGUGGCUAAUACCGGAUGUGCCUACGGGUAAAAGAUUUAUUGCCAGAAGAAGAGCUCGCGUCUGAUUAGCUAGUUGGUAGGGUAAAAGCCUACCAAGGCAUCGAUCAGUAGCUGGUCUGAGAGGAUGACCAGCCACACUGGGACUGAGACACGGCCCAGACUCCUACGGGAGGCAGCAGUGGGGAAUUUUCCGCAAUGGGCGAAAGCCUGACGGAGCAAGACCGCGUGAGGGAGGAAGGCUCUUGGGUUGUAAACCUCUUUUGUCAGGGAAGAAGAAAGUGACGGUACCUGACGAAUCAGCAUCGGCUAACUCCGUGCCAGCAGCCGCGGUAAUACGGAGGAUGCAAGCGUUAUCCGGAAUUAUUGGGCGUAAAGCGUCCGCAGGUGGCACUUCAAGUCUGUCGUCAAAGACCGGGGCUUAACCCUGGAAAGGCGAUGGAAACUGAAAGGCUAGAGAGAGGUAGGGGUAGAGGGAAUUCCCAGUGUAGCGGUGAAAUGCGUAGAGAUUGGGAAGAACAUCGGUGGCGAAAGCGCUCUACUGGACCUCAUCUGACACUCAGGGACGAAAGCUAGGGGAGCGAAUGGGAUUAGAUACCCCAGUAGUCCUAGC
RNAcentral lists this ribosomal RNA (690 nucleotides) under uncultured cyanobacterium. RNAcentral's name for it is "bacterial SSU rRNA". It matches the Rfam family "Bacterial small subunit ribosomal RNA", at positions 66 to 800 of the family's 1533-position model. Lineage: Bacteria; Bacillati; Cyanobacteriota. The record is from RNAcentral.